GGCUCAGAACGAACGCUGGCGGCAUGCCUAAUACAUGCAAGUCGAACGGAGAUAGCAAUAUCUUAGUGGCGAACGGGUGCGUAACACGUGAGCAACCUGCCUUAUACAUCGGAAUAACAGCUGGAAACGGCUGCUAAUACCGGAUAAGACCACACCAAGGCAUCUUGGAGAGGUCAAAGCGAAUUAGCGGUAUAAGAUGGGCUCGCGUCCAAAUUAGCUAGUUGGUGGGGUAACGGCCCACCAAGGCAACGAUUGGUAGCCGACUUGAGAGAGUGAUCGGCCACACUGGAACUGAGACACGGUCCAGACUCCUACGGGAGGCAGCAGUAGGGAAUAUUGGGCAAUGGAAGGAAACUUACCCUUACCCAGCAAUGCCGCGUGAAUGAUGAAGGUCUUAUGGAUUAGUAAAGUUCUUUAAGUUGGGGAACGAAAAGAAAUGACGGUAACCCAAAGAAUAACGCCCCGGCUAACUAUGUGCCAGCAGCCGC
Molecule: ribosomal RNA, 488 nt
Filed under: uncultured bacterium
Lineage: Bacteria
Description: bacterial SSU rRNA
Rfam family: Bacterial small subunit ribosomal RNA
Source: RNAcentral